Perognathus longimembris pacificus (Pacific pocket mouse) is the source of this 831-nucleotide long non-coding RNA. RefSeq lists it as uncharacterized. The transcript is spliced from 3 exons. NCBI's taxonomy places the organism in Eukaryota, Metazoa, Chordata, Mammalia, Rodentia, Heteromyidae. The record is from RefSeq and is a predicted model, not a curated record.
AGAGAUUGCAUAGUUGAAGCAAAGAGGAAAAGACCUACAGGGACAAUUGUCCCUGUGAAAAAGAGGGGGUUACACAGGGUGUGGGACAUGCGGGUCUCUCACAGGACUGCCUCCUGUGGCUUCCACGCCAAGAAGCGCUUCUCAGAAGCAGAAGAGAUUCUGCAAACUGGACUUUCAAUUCAGUUCCCAGAAAUGCAUUCCGGCUGGCGGCAAUGAUUCUCAUGAGCUAAAAUAGGCUGUGAUAUGACAGUUGCUUUGUAGCCUUGGGUUGUGAAGCUGUUAUUUAUGAGGCUGUGUGUUCACCCCCAUGCAGAAAGGCGCACAAACAGAGUUUUCCUCAGAGGGUAACUGAGGAGAAUGAUAAUGACCCAUUCUCUGGGAAGACCAUCUGUCCUAAAGAAGUUGUGAGGACCAAACACACUUCUGUUUUAGUAUUAAUCUUACUAGUAAAGAUACAUAUGAAUCCCUUUUCCUAGAGUUAACUUUGCACUCUGGAUGGACUAAGUACAAAUUAGAACCUAGUAACUGAGAGCCCAGGUAUCAGGAGAGGAAUUCGGGAGUCAGUCAAGUAUACACUUCAGUAGCUUGCCUCCAAGAUGCCCAUGACCAAUUCUUCCCUUCACUGUAUAAGCCCAUUGCUCUCCUAUUGAGAAGUAGAAUCUGCUUCUUCAUUCUUCUGAAACUAGGUUGCCUCAUGACCACCAUGUUGUGAGAAAAAACCUAAGCCGUAUGGGGUAGCAGCAGGGGUUCUCAGAGAUGCCCACCAACCUCUGCCAUCCCCAUUCAUUCCAGCCCAUAAUCCAGACAGUUGUGUUAAGAAGGCACUUCACU